UGCUGGGACACAGCCAGAGCAGAGCUGACGAGGCAGCCAGAGACUCCCAGUUGCAUUGCUGAACUGCUGAUUUACCUCCAUACUUGGACUCUGUAUCUGUCCACAGGCAACAAGUACUUAAAUGUGUGACUUUGCAGAGAAAUAGGUGGCUUUACAAAAUUAGGUAAUUUAGAUUUAAAAGAUAUUUAUUGGGCUGGGUAUGUAACUCAGUAAUAGAGUGCUUGCUGGGCAUGCUUUAAGGCUCUGGGUUCAAUGUCUAGCACCAUUAAAAAAAAA
Octodon degus (degu) is the source of this 276-nucleotide long non-coding RNA. RefSeq lists it as uncharacterized. The record is from RefSeq and is a predicted model, not a curated record. The transcript is spliced from 2 exons. Lineage: Eukaryota; Metazoa; Chordata; Mammalia; Rodentia; Octodontidae.